Molecule: ribosomal RNA, 437 nt
Filed under: uncultured bacterium
Lineage: Bacteria
Description: partial 16S ribosomal RNA
Rfam family: Bacterial small subunit ribosomal RNA
Source: RNAcentral
AGCGAACGCUGGCGGCAGGCUUAACACAUGCAAGUCGAGCGGGCAUCCUUGUGGUGUCAGCGGCAGACGGGUGAGUAACGCGUGGGAACGUGCCCUUCGGUUCGGAAUAACUCAGGGAAACUUGAGCUAAUACCGGAUACGUGCGAGAGCAGAAAGGUUUAUCUGCCGAAGGAUCGGCCCGCGUCUGAUUUGCUAGUUGGUGAGGUUAUGGCUCACCAAGGCGACGAUCAGUAGCUGGUCUGAGAGGAUGAUCAGCCACACUGGGACUGAGACACGGCCCAGACUCCUACGGGAGGCAGCAGUGGGGAAUAUUGGACAAUGGGGGCAACCCUGAUCCAGCCAUGCCGCGUGAGUGAUGACGGCCUUAGGGUUGUAAAGCUCUUUUCUUCGGGACGAUAAUGACGGUACCGGAGGAAUAAGCCCCGGCUAACUUCGUG